RNAcentral lists this ribosomal RNA (1480 nucleotides) under uncultured bacterium. RNAcentral's name for it is "bacterial SSU rRNA". It matches the Rfam family "Bacterial small subunit ribosomal RNA". The record is from RNAcentral.
AUUGAACGCUGGCGGCAGGCCUAACACAUGCAAGUCGAACGGUAACAGGAAGCAGCUUGCUGCUUUGCUGACGAGUGGCGGACGGGUGAGUAAUGUCUGGGAAACUGCCUGAUGGAGGGGGAUAACUACUGGAAACGGUAGCUAAUACCGCAUAACGUCGCAAGACCAAAGAGGGGGACCUUAGGGCCUCUUGCCAUCGGAUGUGCCCAGAUGGGAUUAGCUAGUAGGUGGGGUAACGGCUCACCUAGGCGACGAUCCCUAGCUGGUCUGAGAGGAUGACCAGCCACACUGGAACUGAGACACGGUCCAGACUCCUACGGGAGGCAGCAGUGGGGAAUAUUGCACAAUGGGCGCAAGCCUGAUGCAGCCAUGCCGCGUGUAUGAAGAAGGCCUUCGGGUUGUAAAGUACUUUCAGCGGGGAGGAAGGGAGUAAAGUUAAUACCUUUGCUCAUUGACGUUACCCGCAGAAGAAGCACCGGCUAACUCCGUGCCAGCAGCCGCGGUAAUACGGAGGGUGCAAGCGUUAAUCGGAAUUACUGGGCGUAAAGCGCACGCAGGCGGUUUGUUAAGUCAGAUGUGAAAUCCCCGGGCUCAACCUGGGAACUGCAUCUGAUACUGGCAAGCUUGAGUCUCGUAGAGGGGGGUAGAAUUCCAGGUGUAGCGGUGAAAUGCGUAGAGAUCUGGAGGAAUACCGGUGGCGAAGGCGGCCCCCUGGACGAAGACUGACGCUCAGGUGCGAAAGCGUGGGGAGCAAACAGGAUUAGAUACCCUGGUAGUCCACGCCGUAAACGAUGUCGACUUGGAGGUUGUGCCCUUGAGGCGUGGCUUCCGGAGCUAACGCGUUAAGUCGACCGCCUGGGGAGUACGGCCGCAAGGUUAAAACUCAAAUGAAUUGACGGGGGCCCGCACAAGCGGUGGAGCAUGUGGUUUAAUUCGAUGCAACGCGAAGAACCUUACCUGGUCUUGACAUCCACGGAAGUUUUCAGAGAUGAGAAUGUGCCUUCGGGAACCGUGAGACAGGUGCUGCAUGGCUGUCGUCAGCUCGUGUUGUGAAAUGUUGGGUUAAGUCCCGCAACGAGCGCAACCCUUAUCCUUUGUUGCCAGCGGUCCGGCCGGGAACUCAAAGGAGACUGCCAGUGAUAAACCGGAGGAAGGUGGGGAUGACGUCAAGUCAUCAUGGCCCUUACGACCAGGGCUACACACGUGCUACAAUGGCGCAUACAAAGAGAAGCGACCUCGCGAGAGCAAGCGGACCUCAUAAAGUGCGUCGUAGUCCGGAUUGGAGUCUGCAACUCGACUCCAUGAAGUCGGAAUCGCUAGUAAUCGUGGAUCAGAAUGCCACGGUGAAUACGUUCCCGGGCCUUGUACACACCGCCCGUCACACCAUGGGAGUGGGUUGCAAAAGAAGUAGGUAGCUUAACCUUCGGGAGGGCGCUUACCACUUUGUGAUUCAUGACUGGGGUGAAGUCGUAACAAGGUA